Long non-coding RNA from Nicotiana tabacum (common tobacco), 695 nucleotides. RefSeq lists it as uncharacterized. NCBI's taxonomy places the organism in Eukaryota, Viridiplantae, Streptophyta, Magnoliopsida, Solanales, Solanaceae. The record is from RefSeq and is a predicted model, not a curated record.
AUUAUAUCCUUGACCGGCCACCCUUUCUUCCCCUUCCUCUCUCUUUUCUCUCAUCUCCAUCAAACCCCAUCGUACUGAAAUAUUUAUGUUGUCUCUCUUCCAACCACGAAUGCCACUGAGAUUUCCUUUUUUGUCAAUCAAUUUGAAUCCCAAACCCUAAAAUCCUAGACCAAAGAAAAAAGAACUAAUAUAAUCAUUUCACCUUCUACUCGUUCAAAUAACUACAUGCAACUAUAGAUUCAUGAGAAUCUUGACUAUAUUAUGAUGAUUCUUGAUCCAGAGAUCAAACACAGUGACCUCUGGACAUCGGUUUUGACUGAUGGUCUAUUUGGCUCUAACAGCCAAUUUUCUUCACCAUUUCAUACCAAGAGUUUGACCACAGUGAGUUGAUUGUGAGAUUGAGUUCUUAAAAGGCUACAAAUUAUCCUUACUUGGUUUACUGCUCCGAAGAAGAUCUAGGUACGUCUUCACGUGCUGUCUUCAGGAGACUUCAAGGUAUACUGCUCAGCGUCCGCAGGCUUCGGAGUCACCUUCCAUUAUAUUUCCAUUUUUUUGUUCUCUUAUUUGGAUACUGUUGUAAUAGACAUUCUAGAUUAUCCUAUAGAUCUUAUAACUUAGUUCCACUGGUUUUUGGAAAUAUGUUGUUGAGAUCCUAUUUUGGAGGUUUAUAUGAGUUUAACUAUUUUACUUUAGUA